Molecule: transfer RNA, 74 nt
Filed under: Staphylococcus aureus
Lineage: Bacteria; Bacillati; Bacillota; Bacilli; Caryophanales; Staphylococcaceae
Description: tRNA-Asn
Rfam family: tRNA
About the family: Transfer RNA (tRNA) molecules are approximately 80 nucleotides in length. Their secondary structure includes four short double-helical elements and three loops (D, anti-codon, and T loops). Further hydrogen bonds mediate the characteristic L-shaped molecular structure. tRNAs have two regions of fundamental functional importance: the anti-codon, which is responsible for specific mRNA codon recognition, and the 3' end, to which the tRNAs corresponding amino acid is attached (by aminoacyl-tRNA synthetases). tRNAs cope with the degeneracy of the genetic code in two manners: having more than one tRNA (with a specific anti-codon) for a particular amino acid; and 'wobble' base-pairing, i.e. permitting non-standard base-pairing at the 3rd anti-codon position.
Source: RNAcentral
UCCACAGUAGCUCAGUGGUAGAGCUAUCGGCUGUUAACCGAUCGGUCGUAGGUUCAGUCCUACCUGUGGAGCCA